Molecule: ribosomal RNA, 254 nt
Filed under: uncultured bacterium
Lineage: Bacteria
Description: partial 16S ribosomal RNA
Rfam family: Bacterial small subunit ribosomal RNA
Source: RNAcentral
CACGUAGGGUGCGAGCGUUGUCCGGAAUUAUUGGGCGUAAAGAGCUCGUAGGCGGUGUGUCGCGUCGGCCGUGAAAACCUGCAGCUCAACUGUGGGCUUGCGGUCGAUACGGGCAUCACUGGAGUUCGGCAGGGGAGACUGGAAUUCCUGGUGUAGCGGUGAAAUGCGCAGAUAUCAGGAGGAACACCGGUGGCGAAGGCGGAUCUCUGGGCCUUACCUGACGCUGAGGCGCGAAAGCUAGGGGAGCGAACAGG